Molecule: long non-coding RNA, 278 nt
Filed under: Lathyrus oleraceus (garden pea)
Lineage: Eukaryota; Viridiplantae; Streptophyta; Magnoliopsida; Fabales; Fabaceae
Description: Pisum sativum (pea) long non-coding RNA (PSAT_LNC026712)
Source: RNAcentral
UCCUUUGUUCUUGGGUAUAAUUAUUUUUCCUUAUAUGAAAUUCCAUUUUUCAGCUUACUUGUUACUAGAUUAUUAAGAUUCUUGUGAAGAUUGAAUGCAAAAUAAAUGAUUUUAAUGAUAUGAUGAUAUGAAUGUUUUUUAGCUAUGGAUUUAAGGUUAAGAUAAGGGUAAUAUGCAAGCAUGACCUAGUUAGGGUAGGAUUUUUAUAAUAGGCUAGUUCUAGGUUAAGACUACCUAAUCCCCUCACUUGUAGGUUCUAGAAUUUUUGUAAGAUGGUA